UGGGGAAUAUUGGACAAUGGAGGGAACUCUGAUCCAGCAAUUCUGUGUGUGUGAAGAAGGUUUUAGGACUGUAAAACACUUUUAGUAGGGAAGAAAAAAAUGACGGUACCUACAGAAGAAGCAACGGCUAAAUACGUGCCAGCAGCCGCGGUAAUACGUAUGUUGCGAGCGUUAUCCGGAAUUAUUGGGCUUAAAGGGCAUCUAGGCGGUAAGACAAGUUGAAGGUGAAAACCUGUGGCUCAACCAUAGGCUUGCCUACAAAACUGUUGAACUAGAGUACUGGAAAGGUGGGUGGAACUACACGAGUAGAGGUGAAAAUCGUAGAUAUGUGUAGGAAUGCCGAUGAUGAAGAUAACUCACUGGACAGAAACUGACGCUGAAGUGCGAAAGCUAGGGGAGCAAACAGG
Molecule: ribosomal RNA, 407 nt
Filed under: Verrucomicrobiota bacterium
Lineage: Bacteria; Pseudomonadati; Verrucomicrobiota
Description: Verrucomicrobia bacterium partial 16S ribosomal RNA
Rfam family: Bacterial small subunit ribosomal RNA
Source: RNAcentral